Molecule: ribosomal RNA, 404 nt
Filed under: uncultured Eubacteriales bacterium
Lineage: Bacteria; Bacillati; Bacillota; Clostridia; Eubacteriales
Description: bacterial SSU rRNA
Rfam family: Bacterial small subunit ribosomal RNA
Source: RNAcentral
GGGGAAUAUUGGGCCAUGGACGCAAGUCUGACCCAGCAACGCCGCGUGAAGGAAGAAGGCUUUAGGAUUGUAAACUUCUGUCCUCAGGGAAGAAGGAAGUGACGGUACCUGAGGAGGAAGCCCCGGCUAACUACGUGCCAGCAGCCGCGGUAAUACGUAGGGGGCGAGCGUUGUCCGGAUUUACUGGGCGUAAAGGGUGCGUAGGCGGAUAUUUAAGUCAGAUGUGAAAACCCCGGGCUUAACUUGGGGACUGCAUUUGAAACUGGAUAUCUAGAGUGCAGGAGAGGAAAGCGGAAUUCCUAGUGUAGCGGUGAAAUGCGUAGAGAUUAGGAAGAACACCAGUGGCGAAGGCGGCUUUCUGGACUGUAACUGACGCUGAGGCACGAAAGCGUGGGUAGCAAACA